This 464-nucleotide ribosomal RNA is filed under the name uncultured bacterium. Its description in RNAcentral is "partial 16S ribosomal RNA". It matches the Rfam family "Bacterial small subunit ribosomal RNA", at positions 339 to 795 of the family's 1533-position model. The record is from RNAcentral.
CUACGGGAUGCUGCAGUGGGGAAUAUUGCACAAUGGGCGCAAGCCUGAUGCAGCCAUGCCGCGUGUAUGAAGAAGGCCUUCGGGUUGUAAAGUACCUUCAGCGGGGAGGAAGGGAGUAAAGUUAAUACCUUUGCUCAUUGACGUUACCCGCAGAAGAAGCACCGGCCAACUCCGUGCCAGCAGCCGCGGUAAUACGGAGGGUGCAAGCGUUAAUCGGAAUUACUGGGCGUAAAGCGCACGCAGGCGGUUUGUUAAGUCAGAUGUGAAAUCCCCGGGCUCAACCUGGGAACUGCAUCUGAUACUGGCAAGCUUGAGUCUCGUAGAGGGGGGUAGAAUUCCAGGUGUAGCGGUGAAAUGCGUAGAGAUCUGGAGGAAUACCGGUGGCGAAGGCGGCCCCCUGGACGAAGACUGACGCUCAGGUGCGAAAGCGUGGGGAGCAAACAGGAUUAGAUACCCGUGUAGUC